UCUUGGCGGACAGAAAUAACGAUGGAACACAUCCCAACGUGUUUCAAAUACGACUUUUCAGCGCUGAUAUCCUAAAAAGCAUUGCCGAAACGUACGAUGAAUGGCACUCAGAUAUGACGCGUGACCUUAAGACUAUUGCUGAUCAGUUAAAGCACUUGGAGGAAUUACUGAGCUCAGCCCCACGGAUCGAUUCGCCAGAAAUUGUGAUUGAUGGAACAUUGGAGCUUUCAGCUCUCCGUGAAGAUCAACUAGUCUUGAUUCAGCCCGAGGGAGACUCGUUAAAUGAUACGCGAGAGGAGGAGUUAGCUGAGGAGCUUGAGAUUGAGCUGACUGAACUUAAAAUUAUAGAAACAUUCGUGAACAAACUGGUCAACGGCGGAGGAAAAUUUAUUGUUGACGGAGACUUGUUUUUGGACCAAUUUGAGUUAAAUGCAUCGAAGAAUGCGACUUGAACAUUUUAUCGAUCACAAAUUUAAAUGGCGAGGAUUUCGAUAACCUAAUUGAUAAGACCGUUAACAUAGAUAGCUCAGGCAGUUAUGAUGCUCUCAACUUUGAGAAUAUAGCUGUCUCCCUUAAUCUUAACACGGUAUCCAUCAAUGGACACGCCGCCACAAGUCUUGUCCAUCACAGAAGAGAUACUUUGUUCAGAAAUGGUUUGCGGUUGGAUUCGAUUGCUAUCUCCGCCAGACUGAGUGUGCAGGGAAUGAUCAAUGGCAUUGAGAUGGACUCGCAAUCAGUUUUACUAGUCUCUGGCGAUCAGACUCUUAAUGAUGAAUGGAUUCUUGAUGCUAGACGAUUCCGAUUCCAAUGAAACCUCGCACUUACAACCUCUCAUGGGAACCUCAUCCAAAAGCGAAAGAGUUCCGGAAACGGCCCAGGUUCCGAAUAUGGAUGAAUUAAAAGGGCAGAUCAAACUUCUCAGUGAGCAGCUGCUUGCAAAGGAAAUGAAGAUCGAAAAUCUAACUUCUUCCGUAUCGGAACUUAGAAUAAAACUGGAGAAAUUAAAGCAAGAGCUAUUGAUUGUCAAGACGGGGACAAUAAUUGAAAAACUUGAGCAACAAUACAGCAACUCAACCGAAAAAGAGUCUCGAGCAAGUCGAUGGCUGAACAUUCUCGAAAAAUGUAAAAAUGAGAAGCCUGUGGCAUUCAUUCUAAAAGAAAUGAAUCAGAAAAACAUACCCAUGACACAAUUUAUUGUGAUUUUGAAGCGACUGUGGCGAUUUAGAAACGACAAUAUUCAUGAUGAUAUCUUGGAGCGGACUUACAGAGAAUUUUGUAAUACAUUCCGUAUGGACGCACCCGAAUGUGCCGUUUGGCUUGCAAAUGUUUUGGAGGGAGCAUACGUAAUUUUAAGGAAAGAACAGAAUGACAAACAGAUUGCCAAGGAACUAGCCUCAACCCAGACUCCAGACAACAAACCGGUAGAGAAGGUACCGUGUUACCAAUCAUAG
RNAcentral lists this long non-coding RNA (1451 nucleotides) under Bemisia tabaci. Its description in RNAcentral is "lncRNA ENSSSA2NGG009919". Lineage: Eukaryota; Metazoa; Arthropoda; Insecta; Hemiptera; Aleyrodidae. The record is from RNAcentral.